AACGAACGCUGGCGGCAUGCCUAACACAUGCAAGACGAACGAGAUCUUCGGGUCUAGUGGCGCUCGGGUGCGUAACUCGUGGGAAUCUGCCCUUUUGUUCGGAAUCACAGUUGGAAACGACUGCUCAUACCGGAUGAUGACGAAAGUCCAAAGGUUUGUCGCCAGAGGAUUAGCCCGCGUAGGAUUAGCUAGUUGGUGUGAUAACGUCGCACCAAGGCGACGAUCCUUAGCUGGUCUGAGAGGAUGAUCAGCCACACUGGGACUGAGACACGGCCCAGAUGCGUACGGGAGGCAGCAGUGGGGAAUAUUGGACAAUGGGCGACAGCUGGAUCCAGCAAGGCCGCGUGAGUGAUGAAGGCCUUAGGGUUGGAAAGCUCUUUUACCCGGGAUGAUAAUGACAGUACCGGGAGAAUAAGCUCCGGCUAACUCCGUGCCAGCAGCAGCGGUAA
Molecule: ribosomal RNA, 449 nt
Filed under: uncultured bacterium
Lineage: Bacteria
Description: partial 16S ribosomal RNA
Rfam family: Bacterial small subunit ribosomal RNA
Source: RNAcentral